This is a long non-coding RNA of Lycium barbarum (goji berry), 696 nucleotides long. RefSeq lists it as uncharacterized. The transcript is spliced from 4 exons. Lineage: Eukaryota; Viridiplantae; Streptophyta; Magnoliopsida; Solanales; Solanaceae. The record is from RefSeq and is a predicted model, not a curated record.
GGCCUUUUAAGGGCUGAUUUGGCUUCAUUCUUUCAAUCAUUUUCAAACCAAGAAACAUGAGAGAAACCAUUGAAGCUCCUCUCUCAAAAAAUCCCAUAAAACCUAAAGGUGAUUUCUUGUGAUACGCAGUGAUUCUAGUGCCGAAAAACUCAAACUGCUUUCUAUAUUCCCUUUGCUUUUAUUGUAGCUGAGUUGGGGGGCUAAUUCUAGGUGAAGGGAGCUUAGGUUUUCACUGGUUCAAAUCAUUCCGAGUUGUUUUGGAAGAAGGAGCACUUAUUUCUUCAAGUUGACAACUUGUUCAAGUGAAGAAAUUUGUAGAAAAAGAUUUUGAAGGAAACGGGAAUUGAAUUUGGACUAGCGUAAAGGGCGAAAAAGGGGCUGCGUUUUCAAGCCGCGCAGGUACAGACGACAGAUUUGCUGACCGCCUGCCUAGGAUAUCUAUUCUGCUAUUUUGGGAGUGCUCUUUUGUCCAGAGCCUAUAUGUUGGUACAGUCUGCUGCUAUUGUAUAUAUGUAUGCUAUUCAGGGGUAUGACGGGGCCCUGUCCCGUCUUAUGAUUCUGUUAUGUUCUGUAGAGGUCUGUAGACAUACUUGUGUGGGUUCUGUAUAUGGUUUGGGAUGAUAUGAUCUGUGACAGCCUUAUCGGCUUCCAUGUACUAUGUCGGUUCAUUUAUGAUAAUUGCUAACGUCGAUUGAC